UGGGGAAUAUUGCACAAUGGGGGAAACCCUGAUGCAGCGAUGCCGCGUGGAGGAAGAAGGUUUUCGGAUUGUAAACUCCUUUUAUCAGGGACGAUAAUGACGGUACCUGAAGAAAAAGCUCCGGCUAACUACGUGCCAGCAGCCGCGGUAAUACGUAGGGGGCAAGCGUUGUCCGGAAUGAUUGGGCGUAAAGGGCGCGUAGGCGGCCUGGUAAGUUUGGAGUGAAAGUCCUAUUUUUAAGGUGGGAAUUGCUUUGAAAACUGCUGGGCUUGAGUGCGGGAGAGGUUAGUGGAAUUCCCGGUGUAGCGGUGAAAUGCAUAGAUAUUACACAGAACACCGAUCGCGAAGGCAGCUGACAAAACCAUAAUUGACGCUGAUGCACGAAAGUGUGGGGAUCAAACA
RNAcentral lists this ribosomal RNA (402 nucleotides) under uncultured bacterium. Its description in RNAcentral is "bacterial SSU rRNA". It matches the Rfam family "Bacterial small subunit ribosomal RNA", at positions 355 to 774 of the family's 1533-position model. The record is from RNAcentral.